UACGUAGGGUGCGAGCGUUGUCCGGAAUUAUUGGGCGUAAAGCGUCCGCAGGUGGCUAUGUAAGUCUGCUGUUAAAGAGUGAGGCUCAACCUCAUAAGAGCAGUGGAAACUACAUGGCUAGAGUGCGUUCGGGGCAGAGGGAAUUCCUGGUGUAGCGGUGAAAUGCGUAGAGAUCAGGAAGAACACCGGUGGCGAAAGCGCUCUGCUAGGCCGCAACUGACACUCAUGGACGAAAGCUAGGGGAGCGAAUGGG
Molecule: ribosomal RNA, 253 nt
Filed under: uncultured bacterium
Lineage: Bacteria
Description: partial 16S ribosomal RNA
Rfam family: Bacterial small subunit ribosomal RNA
Source: RNAcentral